GAUGAAGAACGUAGCGAAAUGCGAUAAGUAAUGUGAAUUGCAGAAUUCAGUGAAUCAUCGAAUCUUUGAACGCACAUUGCUCCCGCCAGUAUUCUGGCGGGCAUGCCUGUUCGAGCGUCAUUUCAACCAUCAAGCCCCCGGCUUGUGUUGGGGACCUGCGGCUGCCGCAGGCCCUGAAAAGCAGUGGCGGGCUCGCUGUCACACCGAGCGUAGUAGCAUACAUCUCGCUCUGGGCGUGCUGCGGGUUCCGGCCGUUAAACCACCUUCAUAACCCAAGGUUGACCUCGGAUCAGGUAGGAAGACCCGCUGAACUUAAGCAUAUCAAUAAGCGGAGGA
RNAcentral lists this unclassified non-coding RNA (336 nucleotides) under soil metagenome. Its description in RNAcentral is "partial contains 5.8S ribosomal RNA, internal transcribed spacer 2, and large subunit ribosomal RNA". The stretch from base 1 to 120 matches the Rfam family "5.8S ribosomal RNA", at positions 35 to 154 of the family's 154-position model. The record is from RNAcentral.